This 468-nucleotide ribosomal RNA is filed under the name uncultured bacterium. Its description in RNAcentral is "partial 16S ribosomal RNA". It matches the Rfam family "Bacterial small subunit ribosomal RNA", at positions 28 to 507 of the family's 1533-position model. The record is from RNAcentral.
GACGAACGCUGGCGGCGUGCUUAACACAUGCAAGUCGAACGGAAAGGCCCUGCUUUUGUGGGGUGCUCGAGUGGCGAACGGGUGAGUAACACGUGAGUAACCUGCCCUUGACUUUGGGAUAACUUCAGGAAACUGGGGCUAAUACCGGAUAGGAGUUCCUGCUGCAUGGUGGGGGUUGGAAAGUUUCGGCGGUUGGGGAUGGACUCGCGGCUUAUCAGCUUGUUGGUGGGGUAGUGGCUUACCAAGGCUUUGACGGGUAGCCGGCCUGAGAGGGUGACCGGCCACAUUGGGACUGGGAUACGGCCCAGACUCCUACGGGAGGCAGCAGUGGGGAAUAUUGCACAAUGGGCGGAAGCCUGAUGCAGCAACGCCGCGUGCGGGAUGGCGGCCUUCGGGUUGUAAACCGCGUUCGCCUGUGACGAAGCGUGAGUGACGGUAAUGGGUAAAGAAGCACCGGCUAACUACGUG